UACAGAGGUGGCAAGCGUUGUUCGGAAUUACUGGGCGUAAAGGGCGCGUAGGCGGCCUACUAAGUCAGACGUGAAAUCCCCCGGCUUAACCUGGGAACUGCGUCCGAUACUGGAAGGCUUGAAUCCGGGAGAGGGAUGCGGAAUUCCAGGUGUAGCGGUGAAAUGCGUAGAUAUCUGGAGGAACACCGGUGGCGAAGGCGGUUCUCUGGGCAUGAUCUGACGCUGAGGAGCGAAAGUGUGGGGAGCGAACAGG
Molecule: ribosomal RNA, 253 nt
Filed under: uncultured bacterium
Lineage: Bacteria
Description: partial 16S ribosomal RNA
Rfam family: Bacterial small subunit ribosomal RNA
Source: RNAcentral